This 331-nucleotide unclassified non-coding RNA is filed under the name soil metagenome. RNAcentral's name for it is "partial contains 5.8S ribosomal RNA, internal transcribed spacer 2, and large subunit ribosomal RNA". The stretch from base 1 to 120 matches the Rfam family "5.8S ribosomal RNA", at positions 35 to 154 of the family's 154-position model. The record is from RNAcentral.
GAUGAAGAACGUAGCGAAAUGCGAUAAGUAAUGUGAAUUGCAGAAUUCAGUGAAUCAUCGAAUCUUUGAACGCACAUUGCGCCCCCUGGUAUUCCGGGGGGCAUGCCUGUUCGAGCGUCAUUUCACCACUCAAGCCUCGCUUGGUAUUGGGCAACGCGGUCCGCCGCGUGCCUCAAAUCGACCGGCUGGGUCUUCUGUCCCCUAAGCGUUGUGGAAACUAUUCGCUAAAGGGUGUUCGGGAGGCUACGCCGUAAAACAACCCCAUUUCUAAGGUUGACCUCGGAUCAGGUAGGGGUACCCGCUGAACUUAAGCAUAUCAAUAAGCGGAGGA